This 253-nucleotide ribosomal RNA is filed under the name uncultured bacterium. RNAcentral's name for it is "partial 16S ribosomal RNA". It matches the Rfam family "Bacterial small subunit ribosomal RNA", at positions 524 to 776 of the family's 1533-position model. The record is from RNAcentral.
UACGUAGGAUGCAAGCGUUGUCCGGAAUUAUUGGGCGUAAAGAGCGCGCAGGCGGUGUAUCAAGUCAGAUGUGAAAGAGGCCGGCUUAACCGGCAAGGGUCAUUUGAAACUGAUAGACUAGAGUGCAGCAGAGGAUAGCGGAAUUCCCGGUGUAGUGGUGAAAUGCGUAGAUAUCGGGAGGAACACCAGUGGCGAAGGCGGCUAUCUGGGCUGCAACUGACGCUGAGGCGCGAAGGCUAGGGUAGCAAACAGG